UUGGUGAGGCGCACACUCGCACGCCCACCAAAGGUACGAAACUUUGGCAAUGAAACGGCAACACAUGGGUCUCUUCGACUACUAGAGCUGGCGAAAGCCGAAGGUACGCACUGCCUGAGAGAAAGAGCGUGGAGAGAGUGAGCGCACGAGAGAAACAAUAACAAAAAUGGUCUGAAACAUGCUCAUCAACAUGCGCGAUGCGGGGCAACAUGUGCCGCAACAUUAUUAGCCUUUGUGUUUGUUGGAAUUGUGUGUGAGCAUGUUGCUAAAUAUAUUUGGUUUGCUUCGAAGGGAGAUGAAGAUUUUCGGGAAACGUGCUUCUCUCGGCUGCGUAGCAGCAUGUUGCCCAACAUGUAGCUUGCAUAGCAUGUGUGGCUGCACUCAGUGCCGUUGUACUUUAGAAAUGAAAUGAAACUCCGGCUGAGUUGUUGUUACGUCGUCGAGAGAGUCGCGUGUUCAUGUGUCGCGUUCGCGUUCGCGUUCUGAUAUGUCCGUUGUUGCCACGGGCUUUGUCUGGUCGCAAUGCAUCAGCAGCAGCAGCAGCAGUUCUGACUGACUGACUGACAACAGAUAAACAAAUCGGCAAGCCGCGAAGUGUGUCUGAAAGUGCGUGUCGUUCAUUUAAACGUGUCCUGCCGCCGUUACGGCUAAUUACGUUAACAGGAGCAAACAACAACAAUAAAAAA
Molecule: long non-coding RNA, 686 nt
Organism: Drosophila navojoa
Lineage: Eukaryota; Metazoa; Arthropoda; Insecta; Diptera; Drosophilidae
Source: RefSeq, a predicted model, not a curated record